This 1391-nucleotide ribosomal RNA is filed under the name Microbacterium proteolyticum. RNAcentral's name for it is "bacterial SSU rRNA". It matches the Rfam family "Bacterial small subunit ribosomal RNA". The record is from RNAcentral. Lineage: Bacteria; Bacillati; Actinomycetota; Actinomycetes; Micrococcales; Microbacteriaceae.
GCCAAGCUUGCUUGGUGGAUCAGUGGCGAACGGGUGAGUAACACGUGAGCAACCUGCCCUGGACUCUGGGAUAAGCGCUGGAAACGGCGUCUAAUACUGGAUAUGAGCCUCUAUCGCAUGGUGGGGGUUGGAAAGAUUUUUUGGUCUGGGAUGGGCUCGCGGCCUAUCAGCUUGUUGGUGAGGUAAUGGCUCACCAAGGCGUCGACGGGUAGCCGGCCUGAGAGGGUGACCGGCCACACUGGGACUGAGACACGGCCCAGACUCCUACGGGAGGCAGCAGUGGGGAAUAUUGCACAAUGGGCGGAAGCCUGAUGCAGCAACGCCGCGUGAGGGAUGACGGCCUUCGGGUUGUAAACCUCUUUUAGCAGGGAAGAAGCGAGAGUGACGGUACCUGCAGAAAAAGCGCCGGCUAACUACGUGCCAGCAGCCGCGGUAAUACGUAGGGCGCAAGCGUUAUCCGGAAUUAUUGGGCGUAAAGAGCUCGUAGGCGGUUUGUCGCGUCUGCUGUGAAAUCCCGAGGCUCAACCUCGGGCCUGCAGUGGGUACGGGCAGACUAGAGUGCGGUAGGGGAGAUUGGAAUUCCUGGUGUAGCGGUGGAAUGCGCAGAUAUCAGGAGGAACACCGAUGGCGAAGGCAGAUCUCUGGGCCGUAACUGACGCUGAGGAGCGAAAGGGUGGGGAGCAAACAGGCUUAGAUACCCUGGUAGUCCACCCCCGUAAACGUUGGGAACUAGUUGUGGGGACCAUUCCACGGUUUCCGUGACGCAGCUAACGCAUUAAGUUCCCCGCCUGGGGAGUACGGCCGCAAGGCUAAAACUCAAAGGAAUUGACGGGGACCCGCACAAGCGGCGGAGCAUGCGGAUUAAUUCGAUGCAACGCGAAGAACCUUACCAAGGCUUGACAUACACCAGAACACCGUAGAAAUACGGGACUCUUUGGACACUGGUGAACAGGUGGUGCAUGGUUGUCGUCAGCUCGUGUCGUGAGAUGUUGGGUUAAGUCCCGCAACGAGCGCAACCCUCGUUCUAUGUUGCCAGCACGUUAUGGUGGGAACUCAUGGGAUACUGCCGGGGUCAACUCGGAGGAAGGUGGGGAUGACGUCAAAUCAUCAUGCCCCUUAUGUCUUGGGCUUCACGCAUGCUACAAUGGCCGGUACAAAGGGCUGCAAUACCGUGAGGUGGAGCGAAUCCCAAAAAGCCGGUCCCAGUUCGGAUUGAGGUCUGCAACUCGACCUCAUGAAGUCGGAGUCGCUAGUAAUCGCAGAUCAGCAACGCUGCGGUGAAUACGUUCCCGGGUCUUGUACACACCGCCCGUCAAGUCAUGAAAGUCGGUAACACCUGAAGCCGGUGGCCCAACCCUUGUGGAGGGAGCCGUCGAAGGUGGGAUCGGUAA